GAGAAAGUAUGCAAGAACUGCUAAUUCUAUGCCUCCAUGUCUAAUAACA
Molecule: transfer RNA, 49 nt
Filed under: Ovis canadensis (bighorn sheep)
Lineage: Eukaryota; Metazoa; Chordata; Mammalia; Artiodactyla; Bovidae
Description: partial transfer RNA-Ser
Source: RNAcentral